UCCUAAACGGAAUUUCCAAUUCAUAAUCAAGAUUUCAAAGUAGAUUCGGAGUCUGUGGAGAAAAGACAUUCGAAUAGAGGCGAAUACACAAAUUCCAUAACAACAUGACUAGAAAUAGGUGUAAACAAAGGACAAUGGAUGUUAAGCAAGGUCGGGGCAGUGAAGGGAGGCGCAGCCCCAGCGUAUAUCAGGUAUAAGUGGGACGGUGACGCGAGGCCGAUCUCUAAUGAACCCCUGGGGAUCAACCCUUAUUGGGUUUCAGCUUAGAUAAUCCCGUCAUAAAGUAUCGAACUCGGGACACCCGGUUUACCAGACGAACGCUCUACCGAACUACCUAAGAAGAGCUCCCCUUACCUGUCACCUGUGAUAUAGACGUAUUUGGCUAGAACGAUAGGGAGUUGCUUUAGUAUCUUACCUGAUUUUAAAAUUCUUGAAUGCUCAGAUAUAGCAAACAAACUUGUUUUAUGCUUUUAUUAUUAAUUUGGUAGGUAUGUCCUAGCUUACUAAUUAAUGAAGAGUCGUAUGUGUCUCGUUUUCAUUUUCAUGAGGUGUUCUAACAAAGCGUAAAACCUUUAGAACGUAUAGAUUCCCAAGGUAUUCCAUUUCCAGGAAAGCAUUUGAUAAUCAUGAUAAUAAUAUGCAUGUACAUAUCAUUAAUGCACAUUCGAAGGAUAAACUGGCCGUUAAUAUCAAUAUAUUACAAGUAAUUAUAUUUGCGUUUAAUGUUUUAUAUAUUAUAGACGGGACUCACGUAACAUCCGGGGUACCUCACUGUAUACGUCAUCAUGACGACACAUGAACGGCACGUGGUUCCCUUGCGGUCUGCCAUGAGCUGACGUCACUUGUGCAGGAAUGAAUGGUUUCAAAAUCACCGUCUUCAACUUUUGGUGCCACAGAUUUUGACAGAUUGUCUUUGCUAAGAAGACGCAAAACAUAAAUCAUGAUCCAUGAGACGCACACAGGAACUUGGCACGAAUUCCCAAUCCACGGUCUAUGACUAAAAUAUAUAAUAUGAAACGUUCAUUGUAUGUAAACUUUCUUUGUCUGCGGGACUGCCAUUGAACCACGAAUGAAAAUACAACGCAUAUUGCUGUAUGUAUUAUUGUUAUAUCAUUGUUCCGUGUGCUGACCAGGAAAUUUUUACCCAUGAAAUAAUUUUAAAGCUCCAAAUCACGAAAACAGUAUAUGCUAACAUUUCCGGGUAUACAGCCGUAUCUAUAGUACAUACAUAUGGACCAUGGGUUGGGAAUUCAUGCCAAUACCCUGCGGGACCAGCAUGCGUCACCAUAUUACAUCUUCAUCACGUGACUAAAUCUAAUUGGCCGUUUAUUUUUAGAGCCACCGGAACCGGAUAUUCAGCUGCAAUGGAGUGCUACGUCGAUUGGUUUUGUGAUCGAAGGAUCGUUAGUUCAACACAGAAUGGCAGCUCCGAAAAUAUGCUGUCUAGGGAGUAAAAAAGGCGAUGGCUGGUAGCUAAAGGUCCGAUAACCACGGAAAUAAUGUGUGAGUCACUUCGAGACGAUUAUAUUCCUAUAAUAAAGCAGUAAAUAAUCACUUCAAAUAAAUGUUUGUUACAAAGACAGCUUCUUUAUUUCUUGGACUUUCAUCGCUAAUAAACAAAUACAUUAUUACCUUUUGUGAAAACUUCUCCAUGAUCAUUCAUUACAUAGGACUAAAAAUAUCCAUGGUGGAAGCUCGUUAUAAUAGUUAUUAUGUAAAAUGCAAUA
This is a long non-coding RNA of Pecten maximus, 1727 nucleotides long. RefSeq lists it as uncharacterized. Lineage: Eukaryota; Metazoa; Mollusca; Bivalvia; Pectinida; Pectinidae. The record is from RefSeq and is a predicted model, not a curated record. The transcript is spliced from 3 exons.